GGUUAAGUGAAUAAGGGCGCACGGUGGAUGCCUUGGCACUAGGAGCCGAUGAAGGACGGGACUAACACCGAUAUGCUUUGGGGAGCUGUAAGUAAGCUAUGAUCCAGAGAUUUCCGAAUGGGGGAACCCAAUAUCUUUUAUAGGAUAUUACUUUUCAGUGAAUACAUAGCUGAUUAGAGGUAGACGCAGAGAACUGAAACAUCUUAGUACCUGCAGGAAGAGAAAGAAAAUUCGAUUCCCUGAGUAGCGGCGAGCGAAACGGGAAGAGCCCAAACCAACAAGCUUGCUUGUUGGGGUUGUAGGACUCCAAUAUGGUAGUCUGUUAGUAUAGUUGAAGGAUUUGGAAAAUUCCGCUAAAGAGGGUGAAAGCCCCGUAGACGAAAUGCUGACAACACCUAGGAGGAUCCUGAGUACGGCGGAACACGAGAAAUUCCGUCGGAAUCCGCGGGGACCAUCCCGCAAGGCUAAAUACUCCCUAGUGACCGAUAGUGAACCAGUACCGUGAGGGAAAGGUGAAAAGCACCCCGGAAGGGGAGUGAAAUAGAUCCUGAAACCGUGUGCCUACAACAAGUCAAAGCUCGUUAAUGAGUGAUGGCGUGCCUUUUGUAGAAUGAACCGGCGAGUUACGAUUGCAUGCGAGGUUAAGUCGAAGAGACGGAGCCGCAGCGAAAGCGAGUCUGAAUAGGGCGAAUGAGUAUGUAGUCGUAGACCCGAAACCAUGUGAUCUACCCAUGUCCAGGUUGAAGGUGCGGUAAAACGCACUGGAGGACCGAACCCACGUACGUUGAAAAGUGCGGGGAUGAGGUGUGGGUAGCGGAGAAAUUCCA
This 827-nucleotide ribosomal RNA is filed under the name Enterococcus faecalis. RNAcentral's name for it is "partial 23S ribosomal RNA". It matches the Rfam family "Bacterial large subunit ribosomal RNA", at positions 1 to 831 of the family's 2925-position model. Lineage: Bacteria; Bacillati; Bacillota; Bacilli; Lactobacillales; Enterococcaceae. The record is from RNAcentral.